Molecule: transfer RNA, 99 nt
Filed under: SAR324 cluster bacterium
Lineage: Bacteria; Deltaproteobacteria
Description: tRNA-Sec
Rfam family: Selenocysteine transfer RNA
Source: RNAcentral
GGAGGUGGAUGCGUCACUGGUGGGCGCCCCGGUCUUCAAAACCGUGCGUGUGGCACUAAUCCUGUCACAGGUGGGUUCGAUUCCUACACAUCUCCGCCA